CUUUGCUUCCUGGCUGCCAUGACAUGAACAGCUUUACUCCACCAGGCCCUUCCACCAUGCAGGCUUGGAGCUGGCUGUCUGUGGACCGAACCUACUGAAACUCAUCUUCCCAUAGAUGCUGAAGAAGUUGGAUGUGAAACAUUUUCAUCCUGAUUAACUCCUCACCCAAUAUUUUCAGAAGGUGCAUCCAUUUUCCUAUGAAUGUCUUGAGUUUGUCCUUCUUUAUAGGAGGUGAUGGUUUUGCUCCUCCUUGAAGUAUCAGCAGGAGCUCAUGAGGAAGAGAUGGCCAAGGAAGGGCAUUCAGGCAGAGAGAGGCACAUGGUCAAGAUCCUGGUGGAAAAGAAGUGGUGCCUACAAUCCAGAUAAUUUAAGUAAACCCACGUGGCAGAUCCCGAGUUUGGUGAAACCUGUGCCCCACCUACUCCAGCCUGCUCCUGAACAACUGAAGGUGACUGGAGACAUCACAACCAUGAUUACCGGUCUACUGCUCUGACUCUUCACUUCUGACCACAGCACCUGCCAGCAACACCAUUCUGUUUUCCUAGGAGAAGCUACAAAUCAUAGAAGAGAGCUCCAAACUACUAAUCUAAGUUUGCAACCACACACCAGGCUCUCCUGGUUCUUCCAAUGGGUGAUAUAUGAGUUUCCCGUGGCUGCCAUAAGAAAUUACCACACACUUGAUGACUUAAACCAAUAAAAAUUUAUUCCCUCAGAGUUCUGGAGACUAGAAGUCUGAAAUGAAGGUGUUGGCAGAGCCAUGCUCCUCCCAAAGGCUCCAGGGCAGGGCACUUCCUGAUCUCUACGCUUCUGGUGGCUGCUGCCAGCCAGGUAUUCCUUGGAUCUCUUCAACCUCUCUCUCCAUCUUCACAUGUUCUUCUCCCCAUAUACCUCUGUCUCUGUUUUCUCUUCUUAUAGGGACUAGUUACUGGAUUAGGGCCCAUCAGAAUCCUGUAUGACCUCAUCUUAACUAAUUAUACCUGCAAAUGAGGUUAUGUUCUGAGGUUCUGGGUGAACAUGAAUUUAUAGAGGACACAAUUAAACUCAGUCUACAUGGACUCUAUGUGCCUAAGUCUAGUCCUCCAUUGUAGCUUUUUGCAUCUCCUCUUGAUUGGAUUUUUUUUUUUUGGUACCAAGGAUCGAACUCAGGACCUUGUGCUUGCGAGGCAGGCUGCAGUACCACUGAGCUAAUCCCUGGCCCUCCUCUUUACUGGAAUCUUAUUGCAAUUCUCCCCUUUCCCUAUUGCAUGACUAUUUCCCUACAUUCAUUACAUUAUUCCUGCUAUUGUACAAACUGCUGAAAUUGCUUCUAUAUUAAAAGCCUUUCUUGCAUUAACACCCCCUCCACCUACCGACCCACUUCCCUGCUCUGUAUAGCGAAAGGCCUCAAAUGAAUCACCUGUGUCCACCAUCUGUACCUCUUGUCUGCCAAGGCUUGCGAACUUAUUUCAGCCUAGCUUUCGGACUUUCCUGCACCUCCUAAGCCAGUCUCCAUCCUGUCAGGCUCUGUCAUCAUUUUACCCAACCUCCCCCAACAUUUAAUGAUCAGUCCUGCUGUGUUUCCCUUGGAUCUGAGACAGCACACUUGGGUGCUUCCCUUCUCUGUCCUCCAGCCCUUCUUGGGCUCCUUCACUGCUUCCUUUCCCUCUUCCCAAAUGCAAGCAAGAUGGAGGGCUUCCUCACUGGCCAUCUCCUCUUCCAGGCCGGUGCUCACUACCCAGUGACCACAGUGUCCCCUUUCCUUACCACCCCCUCUGCUGACCGCUUCUACCCAAGGGUCCAGGCUGAGUUCCUGACUCUUAUCAAAUACCUCCUCAUCUCCAUUGAAUGUCUUGAGUCUCUACUCAUCUUAAAAUUAACACAUCCAAGACUGAACUACUGAUUUCUCCUCACCCAGCCUAAUGCUGCCUACCAAAUUAUAUCCCCAAUUUUCCUUAUCUCAGUUAAUAGCUAUUCCAUUGACCCAAAUACUCAGACCAAAAAUUUAGGAUUCUUCUUCCUUAUUCUUACUCUAUGUACAACCCAAACAGAGCUCUUCACCUUGACGCUUCCUCCUCACACAUGGACUCUGUCCAGCUCAUUCCAAUCUCUGCCCAAGAGCCAGCGACCAGACUGUGCCGUGCCGUUGUUCGUUCCCUUGCUCACUGCUCCCUCCCCUCUAGACCCUGCAAACGACCUCUCACAUUACUUAGAAGAAUCCAGAUUCUUGUUUUGGAUUUUUGAGACAGAGUCUCUCCAUGUAGCCCAGGCUGGCCUUGAACUCGCAGCAAUCCUCCUGCCUCAGCCUGGUGGGAUUACACACGUGUGCCACCAUGCCCAGCAUAGCCAAAUUCUUGACAUUGACCUACAAGGCACUUGGUUAGCUGCUGACUUCUCUCUUUUCAGGCUCUCUCUUGCUCAGUGGCUUCAGCCACACUGGCUUAAUUGUGUGACCUUGAACACAUCAAGAUUCUUUGGAUCUGGUGCUUUGCCUUUUCUAUGUUCUCUUUCUGACAUUCUCUGCCCUUGGGUGUGAUUUUCAUUUUUAACGUCUGCUCACACUGUUUGGGUUUCUGCUCAGGUGUUUCCAUGUUGGUGAGAUCUUGCCUUCUCUAAAGCCAUAUCCCCUAGCCCAGCACACCCACCUCAAUUCCUCUCUCUCUCUUUACUGAGCUUCACGCCCUCCCCAGUUCCUCCCCAGUUCCACUAGUUGAAAGAAUAGUUUAUUAUGCACACAUUCUGUUUUCUUGACUUACGUAUUCUCUCUCUCUCCUCCAUCGCACUAUAAGCUCCAGGAGGGCAGGGUAUUAUUUGUUGUUUAGCCAGAACAACACCUGGCAUAUUGCAGAGAUAGA
Non-coding RNA from Heterocephalus glaber (naked mole-rat), 2831 nucleotides. The record is from RefSeq and is a predicted model, not a curated record. Lineage: Eukaryota; Metazoa; Chordata; Mammalia; Rodentia; Bathyergidae.